RNAcentral lists this ribosomal RNA (165 nucleotides) under Sabicea exellii. RNAcentral's name for it is "5.8S ribosomal RNA". It matches the Rfam family "5.8S ribosomal RNA". Rfam says of the family: 5.8S ribosomal RNA (5.8S rRNA) is a component of the large subunit of the eukaryotic ribosome. It is transcribed by RNA polymerase I as part of the 45S precursor that also contains 18S and 28S rRNA. RNAcentral also lists the same sequence under 2 other names. The record is from RNAcentral. Lineage: Eukaryota; Viridiplantae; Streptophyta; Magnoliopsida; Gentianales; Rubiaceae.
AAAACGACUCUCGACAACGGAUAUCUCGGCUCUCGCAUCGAUGAAGAACGUAGCGAAAUGCGAUACUUGGUGUGAAUUGCAGAAUCCCGUGAACCAUCGAGUCUUUGAACGCAAGUUGCGCCCAAAGCCAUCAGGCCGAGGGCACGUCUGCCUGGGCGUCACGCA